Molecule: ribosomal RNA, 492 nt
Filed under: uncultured bacterium
Lineage: Bacteria
Description: partial 16S ribosomal RNA
Rfam family: Bacterial small subunit ribosomal RNA
Source: RNAcentral
AGUGAACGCUGGCGGUAGGCCUAACACAUGCAAGUCGAACGGCAGCACAGUAAGAGCUUGCUCUUACGGGUGGCGAGUGGCGGACGGGUGAGGAAUACAUCGGAAUCUACUUUUUCGUGGGGGAUAACGUAGGGAAACUUACGCUAAUACCGCAUACUACCUACGGGUGAAAGCAGGGGAUCUUCGGACCUUGCGCGAUUGAAUGAGCCGAUGUCGGAUUAGCUAGUUGGCGGGGUAAAGGCCCACCAAGGCGACGAUCCGUAGCUGGUCUGAGAGGAUGAAAAGCAACACUGGAACUGAGACACGGUCCAGACUCCUACGGGAGGCAGCAGUGGGGAAUAUUGGACAAUGGGAGAGAGCCUGAUCCAGCCAUACCGCGUGAGUGAAGAAGGCCUUCGGGUUGUAAAGCCCUUUUGUUGGGAAAGAAAAGCAGCAGGUUAAUACCCCGCCGUUCUGACGGUACCCAAAGAAUAAGCACCGGCUAACUUCGUG